AUCCACACAAGUUACUGCUGUUCACAUUUUACCCUAAGCAUACAUUCAUCUAUCCUACAAAAUGUGGAGGCAAAUUGUAUUUGCUGUUCUUCUGGCUUCACCCGCUUUCACUUUGGAUUUUAAAAAGUGCUACAUGUCUCCUGCUCCUGAGACAGUGGAUAUUGGGAGAGAUGCGUGUGUUUUCGUUAUCGGCCAAGUAGCUCACAGCACAGUUACAUUCAAAGCCCCUGCUGCCAGCAAGACUUUGAAAGCAACAGCUUUGGGUACUUUUGAUGUGUUUGAUGACGAUAAAGCUUGCAGCUCUCUUACAAAAGGUUCCUGCCCUAUUGUAGCUGGACAAGAAUACAUCUACAAAUUCAAUGUCACCGCUACAGAAAAGCUGAAGGGUGGACUGGACUUUAUCUUCACUCUGCACGGUGACGAAGGCCAACUUAUCACAUGUUACCGAGUGGAGUGCGAAGUCAAAGAGAAUAAGUUUCUAACAAGCUCAUGAGAAACUCGCUACGAAAUUUAAUUUUAAGUACAUGAUGUUACCUGGAUAAUGCUCUAAGGUGUUUGUACAAAUAGGUUCUGAAAGAGCUUUUAGUUAAACCUAUUACAAAAAUUUUAGUGUACUCAAAUGAUUGGAUGAAAAUAAAUUAAGGGAAAAAAU
Long non-coding RNA from Bacillus rossius redtenbacheri, 652 nucleotides. RefSeq lists it as uncharacterized. The transcript is spliced from 4 exons. The record is from RefSeq and is a predicted model, not a curated record. NCBI's taxonomy places the organism in Eukaryota, Metazoa, Arthropoda, Insecta, Phasmatodea, Bacillidae.